This 744-nucleotide ribosomal RNA is filed under the name uncultured bacterium. RNAcentral describes it as "bacterial SSU rRNA". It matches the Rfam family "Bacterial small subunit ribosomal RNA", at positions 8 to 796 of the family's 1533-position model. The record is from RNAcentral.
AGAGUUUGAUCCUGGCUCAGAGCGAACGCUGGCGGCAGGCUUAACACAUGCAAGUCGAGCGGGCGUAGCAAUACGUCAGCGGCAGACGGGUGAGUAGCGCGUGGGAACGUACCUUUUGGUUCGGAACAACACAGGGAAACUUGUGCUAAUACCGGAUAAGCCCUUACGGGGAAAGAUUUAUCGCCGAAAGAUCGGCCCGCGUCUGAUUAGCUAGUUGGUGAGGUAAUGGCUCACCAAGGCGACGAUCAGUAGCUGGUCUGAGAGGAUGAUCAGCCACAUUGGGACUGAGACACGGCCCAAACUCCUACGGGAGGCAGCAGUGGGGAAUAUUGGACAAUGGGCGCAAGCCUGAUCCAGCCAUGCCGCGUGAGUGAUGAAGGCCCUAGGGUUGUAAAGCUCUUUUGUGCGGGAAGAUAAUGACGGUACCGCAAGAAUAAGCCCCGGCUAACUUCGUGCCAGCAGCCGCGGUAAUACGAAGGGGGCUAGCGUUGCUCGGAAUCACUGGGCGUAAAGGGUGCGUAGGCGGGUCUUUAAGUCAGGGGUGAAAUCCUGGAGCUCAACUCCAGAACUGCCUUUGAUACUGAGGAUCUUGAGUUCGGGAGAGGUGAGUGGAACUGCGAGUGUAGAGGUGAAAUUCGUAGAUAUUCGCAAGAACACCAGUGGCGAAGGCGGCUCACUGGCCCGAUACUGACGCUGAGGCACGAAAGCGUGGGGAGCAAACAGGAUUAGAUACCCCGGUAGUCC